GUCUACGGCCAUACCACCCUGAACGCGCCCGAUCUCGUCUGAUCUCGGAAGCUAAGCAGGGUCGAGCCUGGUUAGUACUUGGAAGGGAGAAAUAGAAAAAAAAAAACAGCCCUAAAAU
This 118-nucleotide ribosomal RNA is filed under the name Vulpes vulpes (red fox). Lineage: Eukaryota; Metazoa; Chordata; Mammalia; Carnivora; Canidae. The record is from RNAcentral.